This 370-nucleotide ribosomal RNA is filed under the name uncultured bacterium. Its description in RNAcentral is "bacterial SSU rRNA". It matches the Rfam family "Bacterial small subunit ribosomal RNA", at positions 917 to 1289 of the family's 1533-position model. The record is from RNAcentral.
GGACCCGCACAAGCGGUGGAGCAUGUGGUUUAAUUCGAUGCAACGCGAAAAACCUUACCUACACUUGACAUACUUGGAAUCUUUUGUAAUGAAAGAGUGCCUUUUGGAGCCAAGAUACAGGUGCUGCAUGGCUGUCGUCAGCUCGUGUCGUGAGAUGUUGGGUUAAGUCCCAUAACGAGCGCAACCCCUUACCCUUAUUUGCCAGCGAUUCGGUCGGGAACUAUAAGGGGACUGCCGGUGAUAAACCGGAGGAAGGUGAGGACGACGUCAAGUCAUCAUGGCCCUUACGUGUAGGGCUACACACGGUGCUACAAUGGGAGUACAGAGGCGGCCAACUUGCGAGAGUGAGCGAAUCCCAAAAGUGCGUCGU